GUGGGCAGCCCCGGGGAGGGGAAGAAAAACACGGAGGAGCCCAAACAGAGAGCAAGGACGGUCCUCCGCGACCUCGGCUAGAGGAAAACGAGAGCCUCUGAAAGCCAAUGCAAGAGCAGCCAAGCCAAAUGAGCUCGGUCCCACUCACCCUGCAGACGAGAGUGUAAACGGUGCCCUGGGAUCUCCCUUUGCUUCCCGUGUUCUCCCUGGUGUUCUUCUGGAAGCCACGCUCAGGGGUCUGAAUGCAGAGGGUGACAGCUUCAUCUUGUUUCGUUCACUUUCGAUGCAUAAAGAGCUCUAGAGACUGUUUUCAAGGAGAAUCGACUCUCAGAUCUUCAUUCACACUGAGGUGUUGAUGACUGGUUACUGUCCAACACAGCUAUCCUCAUUAGAGUGUGAGAUGAAUUUUGAGAUGUUCUUCUAGGCUGGACAGAAGUUGCUGCAUGAGGAAGAAGAAUAUCUAUUUCUCCACCACCAUGGUUUGCCCUAAAGGAAGAAAACUCUGCAGCCCACCACGGGAAGCAGAGGAGUAGGUUUUAAGUACAAGGGAAGAAAACAGUCAUGAUUCUGUAUCUUUACACGUGGAUGAACAGCAGCUCACACUCUCCAAUCAGUAAGGAAUCUAUGAAAAUCUGAAUUUUCAUAGGGUCUGGUGAAAUGAAUUUAGCCGGGCUCAAGAUACACCACCCCCAAAUAUGGCACCUUGGAAUUCUGGCUAUUUUAAGCUGAAGAAAAAAGAAUGAAAAUAAAUACAAAGAGCAUCAGUGAGAUUUAGGACAACUUUGAGCAACCUGAUAUAUUUAUAGUUGCUCUCUCUGAAAGGGGGUGGGGGGGAAAUCUAUUUGAAGAAAUAAUGACAGAAAAACUUCUAAUUUGGUUAAACUAUAAACCCACAGAUCCAAAAAACUUAAUAAACCCCCAGUACAAGAAACAUGAAGAAAGCUACAUCUGCAAUGUUUCAAGUUGAGUAAAUAUGCAUUAUUUACCCUAUAUAUGUAAGGCUGGACAUAAA
Molecule: long non-coding RNA, 1012 nt
Organism: Mustela erminea (ermine)
Lineage: Eukaryota; Metazoa; Chordata; Mammalia; Carnivora; Mustelidae
Exons: 4
Source: RefSeq, a predicted model, not a curated record